Hydra vulgaris (swiftwater hydra) is the source of this 994-nucleotide non-coding RNA. Lineage: Eukaryota; Metazoa; Cnidaria; Hydrozoa; Anthoathecata; Hydridae. The record is from RefSeq and is a predicted model, not a curated record.
UUUGAUGUUACAAUAAACAUGAAAUAAGUUUGUGAAGACCUUAGUGCCAAAAAUACUUGCAUGCAUUAUACAUGCAUGCUGUAUUAUAAUAUAGCAUUCAUGCAUGAUGCAUUCAAGUAUAAAAAAAAAGUUACAAAUGUUUAAUUAUACAAAAAGAUUAUGGAUGUGGUACUGCAAGUAUAUUCAAUUGAUUAUGCAAGUAAGUUGUCCUACUUUACAUCUUUGAAGACUAAUAAUAAUUGUAAUGAACAUAUCUCAGACAAUAUACACUCGGAUUUAUAUUUUAGUUAAACCAUCACCACUUCCACAGCCACCUUGUCUCAAGCAUUAAAUCGCAUUCUAAGAUAUCUUUAUUCAAAUUAAGUGUGACUACUUUACCAAAAGACUCUAGAAUGGACCAAUCAACUAACCCAUCAGUACUUGCAAAGUCUCCUUUUCUGUAAGCCCAAAAUUGAGUUCUAAAAUACCAUUAUCCGCAUAACUACUAUAUCAAAGUACAAUCUAAUGGAUUGAUCAAUGAAACUGUCGGUAUCUCCACAACUUUUCAAUUAAAUAGAAAGUUUCAAUUAAACAGGAUACUGAGUGUGCCUACUGCUCCUCGAGACAAUGAAUAAUGGGAGUUAUCAAAUAGAAUACUAUAUAAUAUUGUAUUACUAUGUUUAGGAAGGGCACUGCAGUUGUCCUGCAGUUAUGCAACUUAUCAACCCAUAACUGUGAUAACUGCCAAUUUUUUUAUAAGAAAAGAGAUUGUAUGACUUCGGUAUCCGCAAUACGGUAUCGUGCAUUGAUUUCCAUCUUAGAAUGGCUCCCUUGCGUAUAGGUGGAAAUAGGAAAGGUUAUGCCCUUUUUUCUAAUUCUUGAGACGAAGAGGCUUAAUCGGUUCAAACAAAGAUGACGAUGAUCAUUAUGGAGCCGAUCACGAUGACGAAUACGAUAAUGCAUAUAAUAAUAAAUAAAAUGAUUUUACUUGUAUCUUAAACUUAAAAAAUUAUUU